AGCGACCGGUGAGGAUUCUGGCUCGUGAGUCGAGAGAAUUGCGCAACCGGAUCAUACCUUUUGUAAAGGUGCAGUGAAGUAAUCACAAGAAGCGGGAGGCGACUUGGGAGCCGGAGACGGUGAUGAGAGAAUCCUACCCCUACCUUUUUGAGGCUCAGGAUUGAGAUAUGAUUCAGUUUCGCGGAUGAAACUUUUUAUAGUGGGGAAGGAUGUAGUGUUUCUGAGCUUUGGAUAGGAUUGGCUUCAGUGUUAGUGACUGGUCGACAUAUCUGCAGAGUGUCCGACUGAGUCGGAGUCGUUUCUGCGCGAAAUGGAUGCAGAAAUGGA
Molecule: long non-coding RNA, 327 nt
Filed under: Ananas comosus (pineapple)
Lineage: Eukaryota; Viridiplantae; Streptophyta; Magnoliopsida; Poales; Bromeliaceae
Description: long non-coding RNA (ACOM_LNC013217)
Source: RNAcentral